GACGAACGCUGGCGGCGUGCUUAACACAUGCAAGUCGAGCGGUAAGGCCCUUUCGGGGGUACACGAGCGGCGAACGGGUGAGUAACACGUGGGUGACCUGCCCUCAGCUCUGGGAUAAGCCCGGGAAACUGGGUCUAAUACCGGAUAUGACUCCAUGACGCAUGUUGUGGGGUGGAAAGCCUUGUGCGGCUGAGGAUGGGCCCGCGGCCUAUCAGCUUGUUGGUGGGGUGAUGGCCACCAAGGCGACGACGGGUAGCCGGCCUGAGAGGGCGACCGGCCACACUGGGACUGAGAUACGGCCCAGACUCCUACGGGAGGCAGCAGUGGGGAAUCUUGCGCAAUGGGCGAAAGCCUGACGCAGCGACGCUGCGUGAGGGAUGACGGCCU
RNAcentral lists this ribosomal RNA (387 nucleotides) under uncultured bacterium. RNAcentral describes it as "bacterial SSU rRNA". It matches the Rfam family "Bacterial small subunit ribosomal RNA", at positions 28 to 417 of the family's 1533-position model. The record is from RNAcentral.